This is a long non-coding RNA of Helianthus annuus (common sunflower), 610 nucleotides long. RefSeq lists it as uncharacterized. The transcript has 3 exons. NCBI's taxonomy places the organism in Eukaryota, Viridiplantae, Streptophyta, Magnoliopsida, Asterales, Asteraceae. The record is from RefSeq and is a predicted model, not a curated record.
AAAUUUCGUGUUCUUGUAAGUGGCUUAAUCUCUUGAAUUUGUAUAAUUUUUUUUUGUAAGUGUAACGACCUUAGAGCGUUAUAAAAAGACAUGUUUCUUGACUGUUCUAGAUUUUAUACCAGGUAGUACUUUAUGCUUUAUGAUAUGUACAUUGGAUUUGCAGGUCAAUGGUGACUAAGUCAAAGGUUGUUACAUCAAAUGGUAAAAAAGAGUGCCAUUCACGUUGUCAUGUUAUUACAGUCUAUCACAUCUAAUGUUGACUAAGCCAAAGGUUGUUACAUCAAAUGGUAAAAACCUAAGUUCAUGAAUAUAAUGGUUAUGUUUUCUAGAAGUACCUGAUUCAACAGUUUGAUGUUUUCAUGAAGCUUCUACUUGAGCUGUUGCGAACGCGGGGAAACGAUGUCUCACUAGUUCCAUGUUUGAGGAAAUACCCGCAAUAGCGGCCACCAAGUUUGGAAAGAAGAUGCUAAUGAAGUGGAUGAUGAUACGGAUAUGAUGUAGAAUUAUGACAUUUUAUAUGUUAAAGUAGUUUUAUGACAUGUUGUGAAUAAAAAUGAACCCGGAUGGUGACGUUUGUGACGUUUAUGCUUAUGUAGAUUGUGUUUAUUUA